Molecule: ribosomal RNA, 349 nt
Filed under: uncultured bacterium
Lineage: Bacteria
Description: bacterial SSU rRNA
Rfam family: Bacterial small subunit ribosomal RNA
Source: RNAcentral
AGAGUUUGAUCCUGGCUCAGGAUGAACGCUAGCUACAGGCUUAACACAUGCAAGUCGAGGGGAAACGACAUCGAACGCUUGCUUUUGAUGGGCGUCGACCGGCGCACGGGUGAGUAACGCGUAUCCAACCUGCCCAUCACUUGGGGAUAACCUUGCGAAAGUAAGACUAAUACCCAAUGACGUCUCUAGAAGACAUCUGAAAGAGAUUAAAGAUUUAUCGGUGAUGGAUGGGGAUGCGUCUGAUUAGCUUGUUGGCGGGGUAACGCCACAAGGCGACGAUCAGUAGGGGUUCUGAGAGGAAGGUCCCCCANAUUGGAACUGAGACACGGUCCAAACUCCUACGGGAGCA